Molecule: non-coding RNA, 74 nt
Organism: Perkinsus marinus ATCC 50983
Lineage: Eukaryota; Perkinsozoa; Perkinsida; Perkinsidae
Source: Rfam
GCUCUGGUGGCUCAAUCGGAUAGAGCGUUGGACUUCUAAUCCAAAGGUUGCGGGUUCAAGUUCCGCCCAGAGUA